Molecule: ribosomal RNA, 327 nt
Filed under: uncultured cyanobacterium
Lineage: Bacteria; Bacillati; Cyanobacteriota
Description: bacterial SSU rRNA
Rfam family: Bacterial small subunit ribosomal RNA
Source: RNAcentral
AGAGUUUGAUCAUGGCUCAGGACGAACGCUGGCGGCGUGCUUCAUACAUGCAAGUCGAACGAUAAGGCCCCUUCGGGGGUACAUAAGUGGCGGACGGGUGAGUAAUAUGUAGAGAAUCUGCCUUCAAGCGGGGGACAACAGAGGGAAACUUCUGCUAAUACCCCAUAUGAGCGUACCUGCGAUGGUAUUCUUGAAAGCUCCGGCGCUUGGAGAUGAGUCUGCAUCUGAUUAGCUAGUUGGGGGUGUAAUGGACCACCAAGGCGACGAUCAGUAGCUGGUUUGAGAGGAUGAUCAGCCACAAUGGGACUGAGACACGGCCCAUACUCC